RNAcentral lists this non-coding RNA (90 nucleotides) under unclassified sequences. Its description in RNAcentral is "Rhodo-rpoB RNA". It matches the Rfam family "Rhodo-rpoB RNA". The record is from RNAcentral.
GGGUCGGGCGGGCGCCGGUGGGACGGCGCUCCGCGGAUGGGCCCCGACGGUCCCUCUUUCUGGUGCGGACGCCGCGGCCCGGCGAGCGUC